UACGGGGAGGCAGCAGUGGGGAAUAUUGCACAAUGGGCGCAAGCCUGAUGCAGCCAUGCCGCGUGUAUGAAGAAGGCCUUCGGGUUGUAAAGUACUUUCAGCGGGGAGGAAGGCGAUGCGGUUAAUAACCGCGUCGAUUGACGUUACCCGCAGAAGAAGCACCGGCUAACUCCGUGCCAGCAGCCGCGGUAAUACGGAGGGUGCAAGCGUUAAUCGGAAUUACUGGGCGUAAAGCGCACGCAGGCGGUCUGUUAAGUCAGAUGUGAAAUCCCCGGGCUUAACCUGGGAACUGCAUUUGAACUGGCAGGCUUGAGUCUUGUAGAGGGGGUAGAAUUCCAGGUGUAGCGGUGAAAUGCGUAGAGAUCUGGAGGAAUCCGGUGGCGAAGGCGGCCCCUGGGACAAGACUGACGCUCAGGUGCGAAAGCGUGGGGAGCGAAACAGGGAUUAGAUACC
This 453-nucleotide ribosomal RNA is filed under the name uncultured bacterium. Its description in RNAcentral is "bacterial SSU rRNA". It matches the Rfam family "Bacterial small subunit ribosomal RNA", at positions 340 to 786 of the family's 1533-position model. The record is from RNAcentral.